Molecule: ribosomal RNA, 162 nt
Filed under: Taxus baccata (English yew)
Lineage: Eukaryota; Viridiplantae; Streptophyta; Pinopsida; Cupressales; Taxaceae
Also listed under: 10 other names
Description: 5.8S ribosomal RNA
Rfam family: 5.8S ribosomal RNA
About the family: 5.8S ribosomal RNA (5.8S rRNA) is a component of the large subunit of the eukaryotic ribosome.
Source: RNAcentral
ACACGACUCUCGGCAACGGAUAUCUCGGCUCUCGCCACGAUGAAGAAUGUAGCGAAAUGCGAUACUUAGUGUGAAUUGCAGAAUCCCGUGAAUCAUCGAGUCUUUGAACGCAAGUUGCGCCCGAGGCCUCGGCCGAGGGCACGUCUGCUUGGGCGUCGCACU